GACGAAUGCUGGCGGCGUGCUUAACACAUGCAAGUCGAACGGAAAGGCCCUGCUUGCAGGGUACUCGAGUGGCGAACGGGUGAGUAACACGUGGGUGAUCUGCCCUGCACUUCGGGAUAAGCUUGGGAAACUGGGUCUAAUACCGGAUAGGAGCCAUCUUUAGUGUGGUGGUUGGAAAGUUUUUUCGGUGUAGGAUGAGCUCGCGGCCUAUCAGCUUGUUGGUGGGGUAAUGGCCUACCAAGGCGGCGACGGGUAGCCGGCCUGAGAGGGUGUACGGCCACAUUGGGACUGAGAUACGGCCCAGACUCCUACGGGAGGCAGCAGUGGGGAAUAUUGCACAAUGGGCGCAAGCCUGAUGCAGCGACGCCGCGUGGGGGAUGAAGGCCUUCGGGUUGUAAACUCCUUUCGCUAGGGACGAAGCUUUUUUGUGACGGUACCUAGAUAAGAAGCACCGGCUAACUACGUG
Molecule: ribosomal RNA, 466 nt
Filed under: uncultured bacterium
Lineage: Bacteria
Description: partial 16S ribosomal RNA
Rfam family: Bacterial small subunit ribosomal RNA
Source: RNAcentral